AGCAUGCUCCCGUAAGAUGGCUAUAAGAGGAGGAAAAGCCCAUAAGCCAGUUUCCCCAGGGUUAGGGGCCUUGCUUUGCCUUUCUUCUGCAGAACCAGCCUGCGGGAGCAGUGUUGUGAGUGUAACAAAAUGUGGUGUUACCCAGGUAUCUCAGAGAUAUACCCACAUCUGGAAGAUGACAUCUACUGUAAGUCACAGAUGCACCAAGAGAGGCUUUCGUAUGUUCCCCAUUGCACUGAUCCUAUGCACCACUGCAGCAGUGGGGAACAAAUCAGAGCCUCGCAGGCUUUUGAAGAGGAGAUGCAGGAGAGAAGAUGAUUUUGGGGGGUGACAUCCUAUCUUUGGCGGGUAACAUUGCCAAAAGGUAACAGACAUGAAGCACCUUCUUCACAACUUUUCUUUUUAUCCUGAAGGCUCGGAAUUGAUCAGCACAAUUUUGCAUGAAAAACUGAUUUUCAUGGAUGUUCUUUUUUACUUUGUAUCAAUUUAAUCAAAUAUUUAAAGAUUUUAAAACAUGAAUUUUGAAUUAUUUCACAUCUAAAAAUUGAGGGGUUUUAAAAUCUUAUUAUUUUUACUUUUUUCAUACCAACAGUACAGGUGUUAGGAAUAACAGAUGCCAAGUGGGAAGGUGUUUCAGUAUGCAAGAAGAAAGCAUCUUGCUCCAGAGAAAAAUAAGAUAUUCAUCAAAAU
Non-coding RNA from Phalacrocorax carbo (great cormorant), 690 nucleotides. The record is from RefSeq and is a predicted model, not a curated record. Lineage: Eukaryota; Metazoa; Chordata; Aves; Suliformes; Phalacrocoracidae.